Molecule: ribosomal RNA, 265 nt
Filed under: uncultured bacterium
Lineage: Bacteria
Description: partial 16S ribosomal RNA
Rfam family: Bacterial small subunit ribosomal RNA
Source: RNAcentral
AUAAGCCUACGGGACGCAGCAGUAGGGAAUCUUCCACAAUGGACGAAAGUCUGAUGGAGCAACGCCGCGUGAGUGAAGAAGGGGUUCGGCUCGUAAAGCUCUGUUGGUAGUGAAGAAAGAUAGAGGUAGUAACUGGCCUUUAUUUUACGGUAAUUACUUAGAAAGUCACGGCUAACUACGUGCCAGCAGCCGCGGUAAUACGUAGGUGGCAAGCGUUGUCCGGAUUUAUUGGGCGUAAAGCGAGUGCAGGCGGUUCAAUAAGUCU